RNAcentral lists this ribosomal RNA (497 nucleotides) under uncultured bacterium. RNAcentral's name for it is "partial 16S ribosomal RNA". It matches the Rfam family "Bacterial small subunit ribosomal RNA", at positions 28 to 507 of the family's 1533-position model. The record is from RNAcentral.
GAUGAACGCUGGCGGCGUGCCUAAUACAUGCCAGUCGAGCGAACAGACGAGGAGCUUGCUCCUCUGACGUUAGCGGCGGACGGGUGAGUAACACGUGGAUAACCUACCUAUAAGACUGGGAUAACUUCGGGAAACCGGAGCUAAUACCGGAUAAUAUAUUGAACCGCAUGGUUCAAUAGUGAAAGACGGUUUUGCUGUCACUUAUAGAUGGAUCCGCGCCGCAUUAGCUAGUUGGUAAGGUAACGGCAUACCAAGGCAACGAUGCGUAGCCGACCUGAGAGGGUGAUCGGCCACACUGGAACUGAGCCACGGUCCAGACUCCUACGGGAGGCAGCAGUAGGGAAUCUUCCGCAAUGGGCGAAAGCCUGACGGAGCAACGCCGCGUGAGUGAUGAAGGUCUUCGGAUCGUAAAACUCUGUUAUUAGGGAAGAACAAAUGUGUAAGUAACUAUGCACGUCUUGACGGUACCUAAUCAGAAAGCCACGGCUAACUACGUG